This 496-nucleotide ribosomal RNA is filed under the name uncultured bacterium. RNAcentral's name for it is "partial 16S ribosomal RNA". It matches the Rfam family "Bacterial small subunit ribosomal RNA", at positions 29 to 507 of the family's 1533-position model. The record is from RNAcentral.
AUGCACGCUGGCGGCGUGCCUAAUACCUGCCAGUCGAGCGAACAGAUGAGGAGCUUGCUCCUCUGACGUUAGCGGCGGACGGGUGAGUAACACGUGGAUAACCUACCUAUAAGACUGGGAUAACUACGGGAAACCGGAGCUAAUACCGGAUAAUAUAUUGAACCGCAUGGUUCAAUAGUGAAAGACGGUUUUGCUGUCACUUAUAGAUGGAUCCGCGCCGCAUUAGCUAGUUGGUAAGGUAACGGCUUACCAAGGCAACGAUGCGUAGCCGACCUGAGAGGGUGAUCGGCCACACUGGAACUGAGACACGGUCCAGACUCCUACGGGAGGCAGCAGUAGGGAAUCUUCCGCAAUGGGCGAAAGCCUGACGGAGCAACGCCGCGUGAGUGAUGAAGGUCUUCGGAUCGUAAAACUCUGUUAUUAGGGAAGAACAAAUGUGUAAGUAACUAUGCACGUCUUGACGGUACCUAAUCAGAAAGCCACGGCUAACUACGUG